Molecule: ribosomal RNA, 1420 nt
Filed under: Salegentibacter sp. DHVB3
Lineage: Bacteria; Pseudomonadati; Bacteroidota; Flavobacteriia; Flavobacteriales; Flavobacteriaceae
Description: 16S ribosomal RNA
Rfam family: Bacterial small subunit ribosomal RNA
Source: RNAcentral
CUAACACAUGCAAGUCGAGGGGUAACAGGGAAGAGCUUGCUCUUUCGCUGACGACCGGCGCACGGGUGCGUAACGCGUAUACAACCUACCUUUUGGAGGGGAAUAGCCCAGGGAAACUUGGAUUAAUGCCCCAUAGUAUGGGAAUAUCUCCUGAUAUUUUCAUUAAACAUUUAUGGCCAUUAGAUGGGUAUGCGUCCUAUUAGUUAGUUGGUAAGGUAACGGCUUACCAAGGCAGCGAUAGGUAGGGGUCCUGAGAGGGAGAUCCCCCACACUGGUACUGAGACACGGACCAGACUCCUACGGGAGGCAGCAGUGAGGAAUAUUGGACAAUGGGCGAGAGCCUGAUCCAGCCAUGCCGCGUGCAGGAAGACUGCCCUAUGGGUUGUAAACUGCUUUUACAGAGGAAGAACCACUCCCACGUGUGGGAGUUUGACGGUACUCUGCGAAUAAGGAUCGGCUAACUCCGUGCCAGCAGCCGCGGUAAUACGGAGGAUCCAAGCGUUAUCCGGAAUCAUUGGGUUUAAAGGGUCCGUAGGCGGGCAGUUAAGUCAGUGGUGAAAGUCUUCCGCUCAACGGGAGAACUGCCAUUGAUACUGAUUGUCUUGAGUUAUUAUGAAGUGGUUAGAAUGAGUAGUGUAGCGGUGAAAUGCAUAGAUAUUACUCAGAAUACCGAUUGCGAAGGCAGAUCACUAAUAAUAUACUGACGCUGAUGGACGAAAGCGUAGGUAGCGAACAGGAUUAGAUACCCUGGUAGUCUACGCCGUAAACGAUGGUUACUAGCUGUUCGGCCCGAUUAAGGGCUGAGUGGUUAAGCGAAAGUGAUAAGUAACCCACCUGGGGAGUACGUUCGCAAGAAUGAAACUCAAAGGAAUUGACGGGGGCCCGCACAAGCGGUGGAGCAUGUGGUUUAAUUCGAUGAUACGCGAGGAACCUUACCAGGGCUUAAAUGUAGUCUGACAGGAGUGGAAACACUUUUUUCUUCGGACAGAUUACAAGGUGCUGCAUGGUUGUCGUCAGCUCGUGCCGUGAGGUGUCAGGUUAAGUCCUAUAACGAGCGCAACCCCUGUGGUUAGUUGCCAGCGAGUAAUGUCGGGAACUCUAGCCAGACUGCCGGUGCAAACCGCGAGGAAGGUGGGGAUGACGUCAAAUCAUCACGGCCCUUACGUCCUGGGCCACACACGUGCUACAAUGGUAGGGACAGAGAGCAGCCACUUCGCGAGAAGGAGCGAAUCUACAAACCCUAUCACAGUUCGGAUCGCAGUCUGCAACUCGACUGCGUGAAGCUGGAAUCGCUAGUAAUCGCAUAUCAGCCAUGAUGCGGUGAAUACGUUCCCGGGCCUUGUACACACCGCCCGUCAAGCCAUGGAAGCCGGGGGUACCUGAAGUCGGUCACCGCAAGGAGCCGCCUAGGUAAAACUGA